RNAcentral lists this ribosomal RNA (510 nucleotides) under uncultured bacterium. RNAcentral's name for it is "partial 16S ribosomal RNA". It matches the Rfam family "Bacterial small subunit ribosomal RNA", at positions 46 to 523 of the family's 1533-position model. The record is from RNAcentral.
GCUUAACACAUGCAAGUCGAACGGAGCUUUUGGAAGUUCUUCGGAACAGAAGCAAGCUUAGUGGCGAACGGGUGAGUAACACGUAGACAACUUACCUUCGAGUUGGGGACAACAUCCCGAAAGGGGUGCUAAUACCGAAUGAAGCCUAUCGGUCACAUGACUGGUAGAUGAAAGAUGGCCUCUGGAUAUGCUAUCGCUUGAAGAAAGGUCUGCGCCUGAUUAGCUAGUUGGAGGGGUAAUGGCCCACCAAGGCAACGAUCAGUAGCCGGUCUGAGAGGACGAACGGCCACACUGGGACCGAGACACGGCCCAGACUCCUACGGGAGGCAGCAGUGGGGAAUCUUCCGCAAUGGACGAAAGUCUGACGGAGCGACACCGCGUGGGUGAAGAAGGCCUUCGGGUCGUAAAGCCCUGUCAUUAGGGAAGAAACGUAGUAUGAUUAAUACGCAUAUUACUUGACGGUACCUAAGGAGGAAGCCCCGGCUAACUAUGUGCCAGCAGCCGCCGUAA